ACUCAAAGGAAUUGACGGGGACCCGCACAAGCGGUGGAGCAUGUGGUUUAAUUCGACGCAACGCGAAGAACCUUACCUGGGUUAAAUCAAAGUUGCAAAGCGCAGAGAUGCGCUCCCCUCGCAAGAGGCGGCUUUGAAGGUGCUGCAUGGCUGUCGUCAGCUCGUGUCGUGAGAUGUUGGGUUAAGUCCCGCAACGAGCGCAACCCUUACCACUAGUUGCCAGCAUUCAGUUGGGCACUCUAGCGGAACUGCCGGUGAUAAACCGGAGGAAGGUGGGGAUGACGUCAAGUCAUCAUGGCCUCUAUGUCCAGGGCUACACACGUGCUACAAUGGCAGGUACAGACCGCUGCAAACUCGCAAGAGGGAGCCAAUCGGAAAAAGCCUGUCUCAGUUCGGAUUGCAGUCUGCAACUCGACUGCAUGAAGUUGGAAUCGCUAGUAAUCGCAGAUCAGCACGCUGCGGUGAAUACGUUCCCGGGUCUUGUACACACCGCCCGU
Molecule: ribosomal RNA, 497 nt
Filed under: uncultured bacterium
Lineage: Bacteria
Description: partial 16S ribosomal RNA
Rfam family: Bacterial small subunit ribosomal RNA
Source: RNAcentral